Molecule: ribosomal RNA, 253 nt
Filed under: uncultured bacterium
Lineage: Bacteria
Description: partial 16S ribosomal RNA
Rfam family: Bacterial small subunit ribosomal RNA
Source: RNAcentral
UACGGAGGGGGCUAGCGUUGUUCGGAAUUACUGGGCGUAAAGCGCGCGUAGGCGGCUUUGUAAGUUAGAGGUGAAAGCCCAGGGCUCAACCCUGGAAUUGCCUUUAAGACUGCAUCGCUUGAACAUCGGAGAGGUAAGUGGAAUUCCGAGUGUAGAGGUGAAAUUCGUAGAUAUUCGCAAGAACACCAGUGGCGAAGGCGGCUCACUGGCCCGAUACUGACGCUGAGGCACGAAAGCGUGGGGAGCAAACAGG